Molecule: long non-coding RNA, 736 nt
Filed under: Vigna radiata
Lineage: Eukaryota; Viridiplantae; Streptophyta; Magnoliopsida; Fabales; Fabaceae
Description: long non-coding RNA (VRAD_LNC005349)
Source: RNAcentral
GGAAAGUUAGAUGAAUCUUCAUGUGCUAUGCAAACGAGUAUGCUACGCAGAUCGCUUUAUCAAUAAUGUAUAUUAUGAUAACACUGCCCCAGUUGUAUGCAAGCACAAAGCUUUAUCCAGUGACGCAGAAUGCAGAAUUUCUAAGCACAAUAACAUUUUCCGAUUGUUUUGAUGAGAAAUGAAUACAAUCUCUUCAACAAAUAACAGAUUCUGUAGUCUGUUCACCGAGAAAUCAUGUCUGUUUUCAUUGUUCUAUCUCAAUCCGGUGGAUUUAACACUUAAGAAAAUACAGACACGUACUAAAUUGAAACAUGGUCCCACACAAAGUUGUAAUUGAAUACCUUCUCAAUUGCUGUUUUCCUCUUCUCUUACUUUGAUCUCCUUAGAGGUGAGAAGAAGGAUAGUUGUAGAAUACACAUUGUGUACACAUCAGCGAAGAGUAUCAGGAUUCCAAAGUUUGUUGGGUGAGUACCCAUUAUGUGGGUGUGCCUCACUGUCUUUGUUGUCUGCAGGAUGAGAUUGACACUGAUGUAAGGCACGUAUAACCUAAGAAUAAUCGUGGCAUCUUGUUUGCAUCUGCUGUCAGAGGUGGUCUUGUUCUUGUAGCAAAUGGAGCAUUGGAUUUCGGUGAUAUAUGCUUGGGCCCAUUUAAGGAUCUGAUCAUGAGCAAGUUAAUCUCCAGUUCAUGGAAUGUGCUCUCAAAUCACAACUAGUUGAAAUCAAAUCAUCAAUUGAA